CAUUUUAAGUAUAGCAAUUAUACCGUGAAACUGCGAAUGGCUCAUUAAAUCAGUUAUCGUUUAUUUGAUAGUACCUUACUACUUGGAUACCCGUGGUAAUUCUAGAGCUAAUACAUGCAAAAAACCCCGACUUCUGAAGGGGUGUAUUUAUUAGAUAAAAAACCAAUGCCCUUCGGGGCUCUUUGGUGAUUCAUAAUAACUUAACGGAUCGCAUGGCCUUGCGCUGGCGACGGUUCAUUCAAAUUUCUGCCCUAUCAACUUUCGAUGGUAAGGUAUUGGCUUACCAUGGUUUCAACGGGUAACGGGUUUUUAGGGAAAGACUCCGGAGAGGCAGCCUGAGAAACGGCUACCACAUCCAAGGAAGGCAGCAGGCGCGCAAAUUACCCAAUCCUGAUACAGGGAGGUAGUGACAAUAAAUACUGAUACAGGGCUCUUUUGGGUCUUGUAAUCGGAAUGAGUACAAUUUAAAUACCUUAACGAGGAACAAUUGGAGGGCAAGUCUGGUGCCAGCAGCCGCGGUAAUUCCAGCUCCAAUAGCGUAUAUUAAAGUUGUUGCAGUUAAAAAGCUCGUAGUUGAACCUUGGGCCUGGCUGAUCGGUCCGCCUCACCGCGUGUACUGGUUCGGCUGGGCCUUUCCUUCUGGAGAACCGCAUGCCCUUCACUGGGUGUGUCGGGGAACCAGGACUUUUACUUUGAGAAAAUUAGAGUGUUCAAAGCAGGCCUUUGCUCGAAUACGUUAGCAUGGAAUAAUAGAAUAGGACGUGCGGUCCUAUUUUGUUGGUUUCUAGAACCGCCGUAAUGAUUAAUAGGGAUAGUCGGGGGGCGUCAGUAUUCAAUUGUCAGAGGUGAAAUUCUUGGAUCUAUUGAAGACUAACUACUGCGAAAGCAUUCGCCAAGGAUGUUUUCAUUAAUCAGUGAACGAAAGUUAGGGGAUCGAAGACGAUCAGAUACCGUCGUAGUCUUAACCGUAAACUAUGCCGACUAGGGAUCGGGCGAUGUUUCUUUCUUGACUCGCUCGGCACCUUACGAGAAAUCAUAAGUUUUUGGGUUCUGGGGGGAGUAUGGUCGCAAGGCUGAAACUUAAAGAAAUUGA
This 1093-nucleotide ribosomal RNA is filed under the name Parathyridariella dematiacea. Its description in RNAcentral is "SSU rRNA". It matches the Rfam family "Eukaryotic small subunit ribosomal RNA", at positions 54 to 1156 of the family's 1831-position model. The record is from RNAcentral. Lineage: Eukaryota; Fungi; Ascomycota; Dothideomycetes; Pleosporales; Thyridariaceae.